UUGAGUUAACUUGUAAAGAUUAUCUUGAUAGACAAAACGUGUAAGUGUCAUAACCCUUUGUUAAACACAGAGCUUAUUUUCUGUGAUUUUCCAAAAGUCUAUGGGAAAAAUGAAUAGGCUUUCAGUCGAGGGAACCUGUGCGCUGCUAACUUCCGGGUUGGCCUACAAAAACGCGUCAUCCCUGGGGCACUCUAUGGAGAACGAGAUGGAAGAAAUGCUGUGCGUGUUAAUACUGUAAAUAAAUGAUUUAGUGCGGAUUAUAGACAUUGUGAUAAAUCAUCUAUAGAGCACUCAUAUUGUGAGCAGUUUAGUAUUCUCAGAUGUGAUGGGCGGCCGAUGUUGUGUGAUCGCUUCAGAGAUAUGUGGAAUUGUAUGGUGAAUACCAUUGCGUGCGUCAUUGCAGACUAACCACGUUCAUCCACGUUUGUCCAGCUGACGGCGCUUUGUACAUAUCACACACACCCAUCACGCACACAGAACACCGCAGCACACGAAGCCUCUGUUAAUAUUGCAUCACAUUAAGCCUCGUAGGACCAGAUGAGGAUACAUACUGAAAUAUAACCACCUGUUCGGGCACCAAUGUGAUGGCAUCACGUGUGAGGAUCGACGAUUGAGAAGAUCUGCACCCUCCUUUCAUUAAGUGGACUUUCUGGAACACUUGGGACUUGCAGAGACUGAGUACUCCUAUUUUCACAACUUCAUUGCCUGAUCUCACCAUCAUAAUUGUAUCUUUUGAGUCAAAGCACAUUGUUAUAUUGUUUGGCUAAUUUGCGUAGGCCUACGCUGUUUGAUUUGAGACAUAUUUAUGUUUGUUAACAUUUUGAAUCAUUCAUUCUUUUAUUUGAUCAAUCAAUACAAUCAGUGAAUCUGA
Megalobrama amblycephala (Wuchang bream) is the source of this 871-nucleotide long non-coding RNA. RefSeq lists it as uncharacterized. The transcript has 2 exons. NCBI's taxonomy places the organism in Eukaryota, Metazoa, Chordata, Actinopteri, Cypriniformes, Xenocyprididae. The record is from RefSeq and is a predicted model, not a curated record.